RNAcentral lists this long non-coding RNA (839 nucleotides) under Rattus norvegicus (Norway rat). RNAcentral's name for it is "long non-coding RNA NONRATT011918". Lineage: Eukaryota; Metazoa; Chordata; Mammalia; Rodentia; Muridae. The record is from RNAcentral.
GCUCCAGCUGAAUACCUCUACCCAGAAGUCUCCUGGUGCUGAUGAUGAUGGCUCUGAAAAUUUCGAAGUGUGCAGGUCAGUAGCCGUAGAGAAAGAUUUGACAUCACCCAAAUAGAGUCUUCUGGAUGGGAGCUCAAUAUGUGUUUGUGAACUUCCUUCAAAGCAUGACAUUCAUUUGUAUUGUUAGAGGUUAGAUGAGAGGUGAUUACAUUAAAAACAGAAGACAAUGAGAAAAAUCCAUAGGUACAAAAACAUAGAAUUGGAUUUCUUCUUUUCCUUUUAAUGUAUGACUUAUCCUGGAAUAAAAACAGGCAAAGCAAAUGAGUUUUGUACAUAUUUUACCUAAAAUCAUGAUGACAGAGGCAGGGGUAGUGAGGCUGUGUGGAGAUGUUCAGUUCAAAUACCUGACAAAGAUAGUCAAACUAGAGAUUCUUUAAGGUCAGCUUUCUGUAUCAGAAAAAUCUUCUAUGCUGUUGACUCCAAAUUGUUCUUCAAUUGCCUGACUCAGUAGGAUAACUCAAGACCCAAAAGACAUGGACAAAAGUCAUGGGCUUGUUGGCUGACUACCAGAUAAUCUAGGGAAGGAGAGCCUUACUCACUUUACCAAUAAUCACACACUGGUCAUUUUUAACUAUGUUGAAAUUUCUUAGCAAUAAGACCAUUUUUUCUGUUUGUUUGUUUACUCGUUUGUUUAAUUUCAAAUCAUAUGAUUUUUUUAAAGAUAACUUAAUGUUAAUGUGAGCUUUCUAUCAUUGUCAAUAUGAGUAAGACAAAUUUGAAAAUUUUUGUAUGGUACUAAAUCAUUCGAAUUCUGAGACCAAGUAAAUAUUCCCAUUGUA